This 1538-nucleotide ribosomal RNA is filed under the name Salmonella enterica subsp. enterica serovar Newport. Its description in RNAcentral is "bacterial SSU rRNA". It matches the Rfam family "Bacterial small subunit ribosomal RNA". The record is from RNAcentral. Lineage: Bacteria; Pseudomonadati; Pseudomonadota; Gammaproteobacteria; Enterobacterales; Enterobacteriaceae.
AAAUUGAAGAGUUUGAUCAUGGCUCAGAUUGAACGCUGGCGGCAGGCCUAACACAUGCAAGUCGAACGGUAACAGGAAGCAGCUUGCUGCUUCGCUGACGAGUGGCGGACGGGUGAGUAAUGUCUGGGAAACUGCCUGAUGGGGGGAUAACUACUGGAAACGGUGGCUAAUACCGCAUAACGUCGCAAGACCAAAGAGGGGGACCUUCGGGCCUCUUGCCAUCAGAUGUGCCCAGAUGGGAUUAGCUAGUUGGUGAGGUAACGGCUCACCAAGGCGACGAUCCCUAGCUGGUCUGAGAGGAUGACCAGCCACACUGGAACUGAGACACGGUCCAGACUCCUACGGGAGGCAGCAGUGGGGAAUAUUGCACAAUGGGCGCAAGCCUGAUGCAGCCAUGCCGCGUGUAUGAAGAAGGCCUUCGGGUUGUAAAGUACUUUCAGCGGGGAGGAAGGUGUUGUGGUUAAUAACCACAGCAAUUGACGUUACCCGCAGAAGAAGCACCGGCUAACUCCGUGCCAGCAGCCGCGGUAAUACGGAGGGUGCAAGCGUUAAUCGGAAUUACUGGGCGUAAAGCGCACGCAGGCGGUCUGUCAAGUCGGAUGUGAAAUCCCCGGGCUCAACCUGGGAACUGCAUUCGAAACUGGCAGGCUUGAGUCUUGUAGAGGGGGUAGAAUUCCAGGUGUAGCGGUGAAAUGCGUAGAGAUCUGGAGGAAUACCGGUGGCGAAGGCGGCCCCCUGGACAAAGACUGACGCUCAGGUGCGAAAGCGUGGGGAGCAAACAGGAUUAGAUACCCUGGUAGUCCACGCCGUAAACGAUGUCUACUUGGAGGUUGUGCCCUUGAGGCGUGGCUUCCGGAGCUAACGCGUUAAGUAGACCGCCUGGGGAGUACGGCCGCAAGGUUAAAACUCAAAUGAAUUGACGGGGGCCCGCACAAGCGGUGGAGCAUGUGGUUUAAUUCGAUGCAACGCGAAGAACCUUACCUGGUCUUGACAUCCACAGAACUUUCCAGAGAUGGAUUGGUGCCUUCGGGAACUGUGAGACAGGUGCUGCAUGGCUGUCGUCAGCUCGUGUUGUGAAAUGUUGGGUUAAGUCCCGCAACGAGCGCAACCCUUAUCCUUUGUUGCCAGCGGUUAGGCCGGGAACUCAAAGGAGACUGCCAGUGAUAAACUGGAGGAAGGUGGGGAUGACGUCAAGUCAUCAUGGCCCUUACGACCAGGGCUACACACGUGCUACAAUGGCGCAUACAAAGAGAAGCGACCUCGCGAGAGCAAGCGGACCUCAUAAAGUGCGUCGUAGUCCGGAUUGAGUCUGCAACUCGACUCCAUGAAGUCGGAAUCGCUAGUAAUCGUGGAUCAGAAUGCCACGGUGAAUACGUUCCCGGGCCUUGUACACACCGCCCGUCACACCAUGGGAGUGGGUUGCAAAAGAAGUAGGUAGCUUAACCUUCGGGAGGGCGCUUACCACUUUGUGAUUCAUGACUGGGGUGAAGUCGUAACAAGGUAACCGUAGGGGAACCUGCGGUUGGAUCACCUCCUUA